Molecule: ribosomal RNA, 504 nt
Filed under: uncultured diatom
Lineage: Eukaryota; Bacillariophyta
Description: SSU rRNA
Rfam family: Eukaryotic small subunit ribosomal RNA
Source: RNAcentral
CUGACACAGGGAGGUAGUGACAAUAAAUAACAAUGCCGGGCCAUCAUUGGUCUGGCAAUUGGAAUGAGAACAAUUUAAAUCCCUUAUCGAGGAUCAAUUGGAGGGCAAGUCUGGUGCCAGCAGCCGCGGUAAUUCCAGCUCCAAUAGCGUAUAUUAAAGUUGUUGCAGUUAAAAAGCUCGUAGUUGGAUUUGUGGCGUACGGUGUGUUCCGGGCACUUGUUGUCUGAGUAACCUGCUGUUGCCAUCCUUGGGUGGAACCUGUGUGGCAUUAGGUUGUCGUGCAGGGGAUGCCCAUCAUUUACUGUGAAAAAAUUAGAGUGUUCAAAGCAGGCUUAUGCCGUUGAAUAUAUUAGCAUGGAAUAAUGAGAUAGGACUUUUUUGCUAUUUUGUUGGUUUGCGCAAAGAGGUAAUGAUUAAUAGGGACAGUUGGGGGUAUUCGUAUUCCAUUGUCAGAGGUGAAAUUCUUGGAUUUUUGGAAGACGAACUACUGCGAAAGCAUUUACC